CCACGGGAGGCAGCAGUGGGGAAUCUUGCGCAAUGGGCGAAAGCCUGACGCAGCCAUGCCGCGUGAAUGAUGAAGGUCUUAGGAUUGUAAAAUUCUUUCACCGGGGACGAUAAUGACGGUACCCGGAGAAGAAGCCCCGGCUAACUUCGUGCCAGCAGCCGCGGUAAUACGAAGGGGGCUAGCGUUGCUCGGAAUUACUGGGCGUAAAGGGAGCGUAGGCGGAUAGUUUAGUCAGAGGUGAAAGCCCAGGGCUCAACCUUGGAAUUGCCUUUGAUACUGGCUAUCUUGAGUACGGAAGAGGUAUGUGGAACUCCGAGUGUAGAGGUGAAAUUCGUAGAUAUUCGGAAGAACACCAGUGGCGAAGGCGACAUACUGGUCCGUUAACUGACGCUGAGGCUCGAAAGCGUGGGGAGCAAACAGGAUUAGAUACCCUGGUAGUCCACGCUGUAAACGAUGAGUGNUAGUGUCGGUCGAUGCAUGCAUGUCGGUGACGCG
RNAcentral lists this ribosomal RNA (495 nucleotides) under uncultured bacterium. RNAcentral describes it as "bacterial SSU rRNA". It matches the Rfam family "Bacterial small subunit ribosomal RNA", at positions 339 to 848 of the family's 1533-position model. The record is from RNAcentral.